This 430-nucleotide ribosomal RNA is filed under the name uncultured Citricoccus sp. RNAcentral's name for it is "bacterial SSU rRNA". It matches the Rfam family "Bacterial small subunit ribosomal RNA", at positions 354 to 796 of the family's 1533-position model. The record is from RNAcentral. Lineage: Bacteria; Bacillati; Actinomycetota; Actinomycetes; Micrococcales; Micrococcaceae.
GUGGGGAAUAUUGCACAAUGGGCGCAAGCCUGAUGCAGCGACGCCGCGUGAGGGAUGACGGCCUUCGGGUUGUAAACCUCUUUCAGUAGGGAAGAAGCGAAAGUGACGGUACCUGCAGAAGAAGCGCCGGCUAACUACGUGCCAGCAGCCGCGGUAAUACGUAGGGCGCGAGCGUUAUCCGGAAUUAUUGGGCGUAAAGAGCUCGUAGGCGGUUUGUCGCGUCUGCCGUGAAAGUCCGGGGCUUAACCCCGGAUCUGCGGUGGGUACGGGCAGACUAGAGUGCAGUAGGGGAGACUGGAAUUCCUGGUGUAGCGGUGAAAUGCGCAGAUAUCAGGAGGAACACCGAUGGCGAAGGCAGGUCUCUGGGCUGUUACUGACGCUGAGGAGCGAAAGCAUGGGGAGCGAACAGGAUUAGAAACCCUAGUAGUCC